UGCCUCUUGGGAAAAAGCAGACUGUACUCCAGACAGAGACAAAGACAUGAGGACAUCCAUUGCUUUUAAGUCCUAUACCAGACUAUGUUGUUCCAGCUGUUUGGAUAAAGACUGAUACAUUACUGCCUCUUGGAGAACAGCAAACCAUUCUCCAGACAGAGACAAAGACAUGGACAUCAAAACAGAAAAUAAAGUA
This is a non-coding RNA of Paramisgurnus dabryanus, 196 nucleotides long. NCBI's taxonomy places the organism in Eukaryota, Metazoa, Chordata, Actinopteri, Cypriniformes, Cobitidae. The record is from RefSeq and is a predicted model, not a curated record.